UUUUUUUCCGAUUUGGUCCUUUAUUUUAAUUUUAAAUGACAAUUUAAUAUUUUAUAUUUUAAAAUUUCAACAAUGUUAUUCUUUUUUAUACAAAAAUUCAAAAAAAAAUUUCAAUCAAAACUCAUAAAAUUAAUUAUAUUCUUCAAUAUAAUACAAAUUUCAUCAAAUUUGUAACGCAAAUCUUCAAAUAAACUCAUAUUUUCAUACUUUAUUUGAUAUUGUUAGGAAUAAAGGACUAAAUCUGGAAAAAAGAAAAAGAUAAAGGACUAAAACGUUAUAUGAAAUUAAGUUAAGGGACCACAUAUGUAAUUUAG
RNAcentral lists this long non-coding RNA (314 nucleotides) under Cicer arietinum (chickpea). RNAcentral describes it as "long non-coding RNA (CARI_LNC000544)". The record is from RNAcentral. Lineage: Eukaryota; Viridiplantae; Streptophyta; Magnoliopsida; Fabales; Fabaceae.